Long non-coding RNA from Ornithorhynchus anatinus (platypus), 1026 nucleotides. RefSeq lists it as uncharacterized. The transcript has 2 exons. The record is from RefSeq and is a predicted model, not a curated record. Lineage: Eukaryota; Metazoa; Chordata; Mammalia; Monotremata; Ornithorhynchidae.
CCCCACAGUUUUAGAAUCUUUGCCUCCCAACCCCUCUAUUCUUAGUUCUUGUUCAGAACAUUGGAAGGUGAAGAUCUUUAGCUGUUGUAACAUGGGAAGUUAAAGGAUUAGCAACUGCAAUUCUAGGUUCUAUUCAGGGCUGUUUGCCAGCAGUCGGGCCUGCUAAAUACCAAAACACCUUUCACAAAAAUUAACACGUUCACUCUCCAAAAGGCUGUACAAUGCGGAGAUGAGGCAACGGUGACAGAAACCCACAGCACAGACGGACACAACCCCUGGCCAUACCGGGCAUCACGUGGUAGAGGAAGGCAUUUGAGAUCGGCAUACCCGAGCCACCGAGAAUCACCGGAUCGAUGUCAUCCCUGCCUGAUCGAAAACAAUUUCCAAAGAUUCCUUCAGAGCUAAGAGGCAUAGAAUGCACCAUUCAAAACACUGAAUUAGAUAAUUACGUAAUAGCCCGAGAAUGACUGCCAACCUCGGCAAGAACAAUAUUCCAAGUGUGUGAAUAGCAGAUAUUCUCUUUUGCACUCGGGGUUGUCACCGUCAUUACCAAAAUGGUUUUGCGAGGUGGUAAUCAAAACUCUCUAUAUUAAAGACAGCCCUCGUACACAUCCAACAAAGGACCGGAGAACCCCGCUCCCAUUUGUCUUAAUGAGGAUUAGGCUGCUUACGCAAUUUGGAAAAGACUCUUGGGCAAACGACUUGAUUUCCCUUUUCUUUUUCUGGGUGAUAAUCCAGACCACACCUUUGCACUUCAGGGGAUGGUAAUUUUCCCGAAUCAUUUUGGAAACGAUUCUCCAAAGGGUUUUCGAAAUAAUCCUGACCUGAUCCAAAUGUAGUUUAUUGGCGCGUGCAAGCUCCUUGCGAGUACUGUUCUCCUUGAGGACAGGGAUAUUGUCUACCAAUUCUAUUAUACACCCUCAAGUGCUUAGUGGAGUUCUCUGCUCAAAGAAAGCACUCGUGGAUCGGUUACUUGUCAGGCCUGAAAACUGAUAACAAUAAAUCGAUGAUUUUGUUUGAAAUCAA